This 242-nucleotide ribosomal RNA is filed under the name uncultured bacterium. Its description in RNAcentral is "partial 16S ribosomal RNA". It matches the Rfam family "Bacterial small subunit ribosomal RNA", at positions 15 to 245 of the family's 1533-position model. The record is from RNAcentral.
GAUCCUGGCUCAGGAUGAACGCUAGCUACAGGCUUAACACAUGCAAGUCGAGGGGCGAGCGGGAAGUCAGCUUGCUGACUUUGCCGGCGACCGGCGCACGGGUGAGUAACACGUAUCCAACCUUCCCGUUACUCUGGAAUAGCCUUUCGAAAGAAAGAUUAAAUACCGGAUAGUAUCGAGAGAUUGCAUGAUUACCCGAUUUAAAGAUUCAUCGGUAACGGAUGGGGAUGCGUUCCAUUAGG